RNAcentral lists this ribosomal RNA (258 nucleotides) under uncultured bacterium. RNAcentral describes it as "partial 16S ribosomal RNA". It matches the Rfam family "Bacterial small subunit ribosomal RNA", at positions 524 to 781 of the family's 1533-position model. The record is from RNAcentral.
GACGAACCGAGCGAACGUUGUUCGGAAUCACUGGGCUUAAAGGGCGCGUAGGCGGGCUGUCAAGUUUGGGGUGAAAUCCCGCGGCUCAACCGUGGAACUGCCUUAAAUACUGACGGUCUCGAGGGGGAUAGGGGCGAGCGGAACUGAUGGUGGAGCGGUGAAAUGCGUUGAUAUCAUCAGGAACUCCGGUGGCGAAGGCGGCUCGCUGGAUCCCUUCUGACGCUGAGGCGCGAAAGCCAGGGGAGCAAACGGGAUUAG